RNAcentral lists this unclassified non-coding RNA (520 nucleotides) under uncultured Acaulospora. Its description in RNAcentral is "SSU rRNA". It matches the Rfam family "Eukaryotic small subunit ribosomal RNA", at positions 569 to 1091 of the family's 1831-position model. The record is from RNAcentral. Lineage: Eukaryota; Fungi; Glomeromycota; Glomeromycetes; Diversisporales; Acaulosporaceae.
AGCAGCCGCGGUAAUUCCAGCUCCAAUAGCGUAUAUUAAAGUUGCUGCAGUUAAAAAGCUCGUAGUUGAAUUUCGGGACCAUCAUGUCGGUCGUGCCUCGGUACGUACUGGCAUUGUUGGUUUCUACCUUCUGACGAACCAUGAUGUCAUUUAUUUGGUGUCGUGGGAAAUCAGGACUGUUACUUUGAAAAAAUUAGAGUGUUUAAAGCAGGCUCACGCUUGAAUACAUUAGCAUGGAAUAAUGAAAUAGGACGUUUGAUUCUAUUUUGUUGGUUUCUAGGAUCGACGUAAUGAUUAAUAGGGAUAGUUGGGGGCAUUAGUAUUCAAUUGUCAGAGGUGAAAUUCUUGGAUUUAUUGAAGACUAACUACUGCGAAAGCAUUUGCCAAGGAUGUUUUCAUUAAUCAAGAACGAAAGUUAGGGGAUCGAAGACGAUCAGAUACCGUCGUAGUCUUAACCAUAAACUAUGCCGACUAGGGAUCGGAUGAUGUUAAUUUUUUAANGACUCAUUCGGCGCCUUAC